RNAcentral lists this ribosomal RNA (253 nucleotides) under uncultured bacterium. Its description in RNAcentral is "partial 16S ribosomal RNA". It matches the Rfam family "Bacterial small subunit ribosomal RNA", at positions 524 to 776 of the family's 1533-position model. The record is from RNAcentral.
UACAGAGGGUGCAAGCGUUAAUCGGAAUUACUGGGCGUAAAGCGCACGUAGGUGGGUUGGUAAGUUGCUGGUGAAAAGCCUGGGCUUAACCUGGGUCGGUCCUGCAAAACUACCAGUCUAGAGUGUAUUAGAGGGAAGUGGAAUUUCCGGUGUAGCAGUGAAAUGCGUAGAUAUCGGAAGGAACACCAGUGGCGAAGGCGACUUCCUGGGAUAUAACUGACACUGAGGUGCGACAGCGUGGGGAGCAAACAGG